Molecule: small RNA, 787 nt
Filed under: Histoplasma capsulatum G186AR
Lineage: Eukaryota; Fungi; Ascomycota; Eurotiomycetes; Onygenales; Ajellomycetaceae
Description: hypothetical RNA
Source: RNAcentral
ACACUGCCAAUUUGGAACGAAUACCAUAUCUUGUUCUAAUUUUUAUAUCCGCUUACCCUCUUAGCCCAAUAUCCUGCCAAACAAGCUUCCCGAAGCGCAUGCGUCCGGAGUUAGAAAACCUCCGAAAGAACACCUCAGUCAUUUAAGUACUUCGGUGAAAACAAAGCCCAAACUAUGCGAUAGUCCGGACGUAAACAAGCAGCUUCGCAGCUCGGUCAUCUUAGAUAUACCUUCCCUCCUCACCUACGAUCCUCUCCAUAUUGUAAAAGAAAAACCUGCACUGUCCUGCACAAAAAUAAAAGAGAGCAGAGGGGCCAAGGGGCAUUGACGUCGCCCAACCCCUAAAAAAAAAAAAAAAAAAAAAAAAAUGCGGCCUCCGAACCUCCUCCUCCUUCGCCGCCUCCGCUGUCCUCACACCCACCCUCUCCUUUCUACAGCAAAGACAACCCUAAUAAGCAGCCGCCGCUUCCGCCUCCCCUCCCUCCCCUCCCUCCCCUCCUUCACAAACCCCAUCUCCCCCAAACCACCACCCCCGCGCACCCUAACCGCCACCCGCAACCUCGCGUUCCCCCCAGACCUCCUCUUCCGCACAAUCGCCGAUAUAGACUCGUACGCCGACUUCCUCCCCUUCCUCACUGAAUCGACAGUGACGGCCCGCGACGCGAGGACUGGGUAUCCGACCAGCGCGUUCCUGACGGUGGGAUACGGGCCGUUGAAGGAGACGUUUGUGUCGCGCGUGACGUGCGAUGCGGGGAUGUGGACCGUUGGGGCACGGAGCGGGCGGCGG